Molecule: non-coding RNA, 72 nt
Organism: PRRSV LV4.2.1
Lineage: Riboviria; Orthornavirae; Pisuviricota; Pisoniviricetes; Nidovirales; Arteriviridae
Source: Rfam
UUUAAACUGUUAGCCGCCAGCGGCUUGACCCGCUGUGGCCGCGGCGGCCUAGUUGUGACUGAAACGGCGGUA